AUCUAGCCAUAUCACCAUUUCUUGACUACAACUGAAAUUUCUUCCCACUAUCAUUCUUUUCUAGUAUAAAGUUGGCAUGUACUUAAAUUUUUCAAUUAAUUUCAAUUAAAUAAAAUUUCAGUUACAGUUAGAGAAUACAUACUGACUGUGCACGAAACUGGCACAAAGGAAGGAGUAAUCAAUUCUGCUAUUUAGAGAAUGGCAUCAAGGAAUAACAAUAACUAACAGUUUUUGAGCACCUACUAUGUGACAGGAACUUACUACUUUCUAACUUAAUUAACACAAACUUCCCCACACUGGAAUUUUUGAAGUUCACAGCAAUGAUCAUAACUUAAUUUUCAUUUGUUGUUGCUCCUGUGAGUAGUUCUAGAUGUUUCUAGGUGUGUCUUGAAUAUUGCCCAAUAAGCCUAUUUAUCCUGGGUACUACUAGGGACCCACUGAGCAUGAGGAUCUCCAACGGGUUCUGUCCCAUGGCAGGUGCAAUUUGCUAAUAUACUGAAGUCCCCUACUGGGUGCUGCCACAGCUCCAGCAGGCCCUGACACCACCAUGGAGGACCUUUAAAGUGCCAGAGCAGGGUGUCAAUCUUUGACCAAGUAGGGAACAACAUCCCUCACCUUUCUGUGAUGGACCCUGUUAGAGGCCCCCUACGCAAUGAUGUCCAUGACGUAACAUCCUACUGAGUGCUUUAUCAGGUUGUUCUUCCAGUAGUUCAUUCCAGGUCUUUUUCUCCCUUGAACUAAGACAUGAGUGUAUGGGCCAGAGUGGAGACAUUUGAUUAAUAUGGCAAUGAAGCUUUACAGUUCAAUACUCGGCUGUUUCCCUGGGAACAAAUACCUUCAAUGUGGCUCUUCAACCCCAGGGUGCAUCGAUAAACAACACUGACCAUGACUCUGAGGAGUUUACACUGCAGGGAGCUGAUCACUGUCUUCUUUCCUUUCUUCCCAAGCCAUCAUUUUAAUUUAUAUACCUAUGGGGAAGUCAUCUUUCAGCCUCUCCAAGGGGGAAAAAAAAACAAACAAGAG
RNAcentral lists this long non-coding RNA (1023 nucleotides) under Equus caballus (horse). RNAcentral's name for it is "lncRNA (ENSECAG00000059301.1)". Lineage: Eukaryota; Metazoa; Chordata; Mammalia; Perissodactyla; Equidae. The record is from RNAcentral.